This 161-nucleotide ribosomal RNA is filed under the name Degenia velebitica. RNAcentral's name for it is "5.8S ribosomal RNA". It matches the Rfam family "5.8S ribosomal RNA". Rfam says of the family: 5.8S ribosomal RNA (5.8S rRNA) is a component of the large subunit of the eukaryotic ribosome. The record is from RNAcentral. Lineage: Eukaryota; Viridiplantae; Streptophyta; Magnoliopsida; Brassicales; Brassicaceae.
AAACGACUCUCGGCAACGGAUAUCUCGGCUCUCGCAUCGAUGAAGAACGUAGCGAAAUGCGAUACUUGGUGUGAAUUGCAGAAUCCCGUGAACCAUCGAGUCUUUGAACGCAAGUUGCGCCCCAGGCCUUCUGGCCGAGGGCACGUCUGCCUGGGUGUCAC